Molecule: long non-coding RNA, 1320 nt
Organism: Cyprinus carpio (common carp)
Lineage: Eukaryota; Metazoa; Chordata; Actinopteri; Cypriniformes; Cyprinidae
Source: Ensembl
AAACUCAGAUGAAGAUGUUCAUGUUUCUGGGAAUUUUUUUUCUCUUCCUGGUAGUUGACAUAAAUGGGGAUGUGUGUUCAUACUGUACCUGUCACAUUUAUCACAUUCCUCACAAUAAUCUCAUAUAUCAAACUAUCAAUCAGCAAAUCACAUAUCUGUCUUAAUCUUGCAAAGCUCUUUAAAUGUGUACAGAUUGUAAUAUUCUAAUUAGAAACCCAGUGUGUGUGUGCGUGCAUGUGUGUGUGCGUGUGCGUAUGUGUGUGUGUGUGUGUGUGUGUGUGCUGGGGGCAUCAGAAUGGUCUGAAUUUGGGCGGCAGCUACUUUAUCAUAUAGUCAGCUCCACCCAGAACUCUCUCUAUCACACACACACACUUUCUGUCAUUCACUUGACUGUCAGUCACCUGAGCUGUCAAACAGCAUAAAUGAUAAACUGAGAACAAGAUGAGACAAGACAUCAUGCUCAGCAGACUGAUACUGCUGUCUGCCCUCUGUAUGGCAACAUCUGCAUCUCUGGGUAAUGCACAGUGCAAUGCAACACACUCAGAUGAAACAGGAUCAUGCAGUCUCACUACUGAUAGAACCAGCAAUCAAACUUUGAACAGCUGUGAUCUGAAUAAUCUGAAAAACUUCAGCUCUCUGAUUUUAAAUGCAGUGGAUGACACUGUACACCAUCUACAAUGUAUAUCAAACAGCCCAGCAAGUUUUCCUCAAGAAAAACUUCACAUGCUCCAAACUGAGCUUGGAAAGAUCAUUGCAUCAACACUAAAUGUUAUGGUUCACCUUGGAGUUUCUUCAAACGAGGACAUUGCUGACAGUUUUGGUGCUUUACACACACUGACUGCAGAAAAUGUGCAAAACAUGGAGUUUGUUCAGUCAUGGAUCUGUGUCAGGCUUAUUCCACUCCUCCCGUUUAUUACCACAGAGUUUAUAUCCAACAUGAGCAAGAUAAACUUUUCAUGUGUCAGCUACCAGACAAUAGUCAAAACACUCAGUCAGCAGGUGAAUCUGAUCAAUGGAACAUCUAAGACCUCCAUCUACACCCAAUUCAUUCAGCCAUUCUUGUCUAGACAACUUUCAGAUCCUGCAUGUCUUUCUAACAUUAUGAGCAGUGCUGAAUGGCUUGUGAAAAAUUUUGGUGAAUUUUCAUUCUACGCUACCUUAAAGGAUCUACAAACUCUGAAUGUAAAUUUUUCCAGUGUAAGUAAACUUUGAAAUUAACCAUGUUAAAUGUUGUUAUUGUAUUUAUAUAAAUUUUUAGGCUCCCAAAAGUCAUGUGUUAUUUACUUUGUGUCUGGGUUUUGUUCACCUUAGCUGGCAGCU